CCUACGGGGGGCAGCAGUCGAGAGGCUUCGGCAAUGGGGGAAACCCUGACCGAGCGACGCCGCGUGGAGGAUGAAGGCCCUUGGGUUGUAAACUCCUUUUAUUCGGGAAGAAGUGCGAUCAGGUAAAUAAUCUGGUCGUUUGACGGUACCGGAUGAAUAAGCUCCGGCUAACUCCGUGCCAGCAGCCGCGGUAAUACGGGGGGAGCAAGCGUUGUUCGGAAUCACUGGGCGUAAAGGGCGUGUAGGCGGUCAAGUAAGUGGGAUGUGAAAUGCCCCGGCUCACCCGGGGACCGGCAUCCCAAACUGCUUGGCUUGAGUAUGGGAGAGGAUGAGGGAAUUCCUGGUGUAGCGGUGAAAUGCGUAGAUAUCAGGAGGAACACCGGUGGCGAAGGCGCUCAUCUGGCCCAAUACUGACGCUAAUGCGCGAAAGCUAGGGGAGCAAACGGGAUUAGAUACCCUUGUAGUC
Molecule: ribosomal RNA, 466 nt
Filed under: uncultured bacterium
Lineage: Bacteria
Description: bacterial SSU rRNA
Rfam family: Bacterial small subunit ribosomal RNA
Source: RNAcentral